UGAGGAGCGAAAGCGUGGGGAGCGAACAGGAUUAGAUACCCUGGUAGUCCACGCCGUAAACGAUGAGUGCUAAGUGUUAGGGGGUUUCCGCCCCUUAGUGCUGCAGCUAACGCAUUAAGCACUCCGCCUGGGGAGUACGGUCGCAAGACUGAAACUCAAAGGAAUUGACGGGGGCCCGCACAAGCGGUGGAGCAUGUGGUUUAAUUCGAAGCAACGCGAAGAACCUUACCAGGUCUUGACAUCCUCUGACAAUCCUAGAGAUAGGACGUCCCCUUCGGGGGCAGAGUGACAGGUGGUGCAUGGUUGUCGUCAGCUCGUGUCGUGAGAUGUUGGGUUAAGUCCCGCAACGAGCGCAACCCUUGAUCUUAGUUGCCAGCAUUCAGUUGGGCACUCUAAGGUGACUGCCGGUGACAAACCGGAGGAAGGUGGGGAUGACGUCAAAUCAUCAUGCCCCUUAUGACCUGGGCUACACACGUGCUACAAUGGNCAGAACAAAGGGCAGCGAAACCGCGAGGUUAAGCCAAUCCCACAAAUCUGUUCUCAGUUCGGAUCGCAGUCUGCAACUCGACUGCGUGAAGCUGGAAUCGCUAGUAAUCGCGGA
Molecule: ribosomal RNA, 601 nt
Filed under: Bacillus subtilis
Lineage: Bacteria; Bacillati; Bacillota; Bacilli; Caryophanales; Bacillaceae
Description: bacterial SSU rRNA
Rfam family: Bacterial small subunit ribosomal RNA
Source: RNAcentral